RNAcentral lists this ribosomal RNA (253 nucleotides) under uncultured bacterium. Its description in RNAcentral is "partial 16S ribosomal RNA". It matches the Rfam family "Bacterial small subunit ribosomal RNA", at positions 524 to 776 of the family's 1533-position model. The record is from RNAcentral.
UACGUAGGUGGCAAGCGUUAUCCGGAUUUACUGGGUGUAAAGGGCGUGUAGGCGGGACUGCAAGUCAGAUGUGAAAAUUAUGGGCUCAACCCAUAACCUGCAUUUGAAACUGUAGUUCUUGAGUGAUGGAGAGGCAGGCGGAAUUCCGUGUGUAGCGGUGAAAUGCGUAGAUAUACGGAGGAACACCAGUGGCGAAGGCGGCCUGCUGGACAUUAACUGACGCUGAGGCGCGAAAGCGUGGAGAGCAAACAGG